RNAcentral lists this long non-coding RNA (1733 nucleotides) under Homo sapiens (human). Its description in RNAcentral is "non-protein coding lnc-DLK1-35:70". The stretch from base 690 to 794 matches the Rfam family "Maternally expressed 3 conserved region 2". The record is from RNAcentral. Lineage: Eukaryota; Metazoa; Chordata; Mammalia; Primates; Hominidae.
GGCCUUUGUUCUCCUGAUGGAGGGGGUCGGGCGCGGGAUCUACUGGAGGAUCCUGGAUUCGUUUACCCAAGAGGGAACAGUUUUGAGACCCCCCGGAUUCACUGCGGAGUGGCCGCAGAGGCCGGGGUCGGCCUUUGCGCCGUGGCUUCGGGUGUUGUGGAGGCGCACAGAGGCACGUUAGUUGAUUUCCAGUGGUUUUUGGUUUCGGGGGUCUUAGGAAGGUGUGGCUCAUUUGAGCAGGAUGGAGAGAGAGGCUGUGACAAGGGUCUCUCCUCAGGGAUGACAUCAUCCGUCCACCUCCUUGUCUUCAAGGACCACCUCCUCUCCAUGCUGAGCUGCUGCCAAGGGGCCUGCUGCCCAUCUACACCUCACGAGGGCACUAGGAGCACGGUUUCCUGGAUCCCACCAACAUACAAAGCAGCCACUCACUGACCCCCAGGACCAGGAUGGCAAAGGAUGAAGAGGACCGGAACUGACCAGCCAGCUGUCCCUCUUACCUAAAGACUUAAACCAAUGCCCUAGUGAGGGGGCAUUGGGCAUUAAGCCCUGACCUUUGCUAUGCUCAUACUUUGACUCUAUGAGUACUUUCCUAUAAGUCUUUGCUUGUGUUCACCUGCUAGCAAACUGGAGUGUUUCCCUCCCCAAGGGGGUGUCAGUCUUUGUCGACUGACUCUGUCAUCACCCUUAUGAUGUCCUGAAUGGAAGGAUCCCUUUGGGAAAUUCUCAGGAGGGGGACCUGGGCCAAGGGCUUGGCCAGCAUCCUGCUGGCAACUCCAAGGCCCUGGGUGGGCUUCUGGAAUGAGCAUGCUACUGAAUCACCAAAGGCACGCCCGACCUCUCUGAAGAUCUUCCUAUCCUUUUCUGGGGGAAUGGGGUCGAUGAGAGCAACCUCCUAGGGUUGUUGUGAGAAUUAAAUGAGAUAAAAGAGGCCUCAGGCAGGAUCUGGCAUAGAGGAGGUGAUCAGCAAAUGUUUGUUGAAAAGGUUUGACAGGUCAGUCCCUUCCCACCCCUCUUGCUUGUCUUACUUGUCUUAUUUAUUCUCCAACAGCACUCCAGGCAGCCCUUGUCCACGGGCUCUCCUUGCAUCAGGUAGGGGCUUUGCAGAGACCAUCGACGGGCUGACUUGAGGCUAAUCUCGGGCCUUGUCGAAGGAAGAGGCUGCAGACGUUAAUGAGGCACGUGGGCCGUGGCCCGGCUGGGUCGGCUGAAGAACUGCGGAUGGAAGCUGCGGAAGAGGCCCUGAUGGGGCCCACCAUCCCGGACCCAAGUCUUCUUCCUGGCGGGCCUCUCGUCUCCUUCCUGGUUUGGGCGGAAGCCAUCACCUGGAUGCCUACGUGGGAAGGGACCUCGAAUGUGGGACCCCAGCCCCUCUCCAGCUCGAAAUCCCACGGGGACACCCUGCACCUAUUCCCACGGGACAGGCUGGACCCAGAGACUCUGGACCCGGGGCCUCCCCUUGAGUAGAGACCCGCCCUCUGACUGAUGGACGCCGCUGACCUGGGGUCAGACCCGUGGGCUGGACCCCUGCCCACCCCGCAGGAACCCUGAGGCCUAGGGGAGCUGUUGAGCCUUCAGUGUCUGCAUGUGGGAAGUGGGCUCCUUCACCUACCUCACAGGGCUGUUGUGAGGGGCGCUGUGAUGCGGUUCCAAAGCACAGGGCUUGGCGCACCCCACUGUGCUCUCAAUAAAUGUGUUUCCUGUCUUAACAAAAACUGAUGGAUGUGCUACUAAUA